Oncorhynchus keta (chum salmon) is the source of this 1740-nucleotide RNA transcript. It is a transcript of the gene named eukaryotic translation initiation factor 3 subunit A-like, with no coding region annotated. The record is from RefSeq and is a predicted model, not a curated record. The transcript has 2 exons. Lineage: Eukaryota; Metazoa; Chordata; Actinopteri; Salmoniformes; Salmonidae.
CCUCUCUCACUCACUUUUUGUUUCCGGCACCUUCUUGUAAAUAAGAAUUGGUUCUUAAACUGACUUGCCUAGUUAAGUAAAGGUUACGUUUCCGUAACUAAAAAUCAGCUGAUCGCCUUUUUCAGAUGUCAGUCAUAUAUUUUGUAACUAUCUUUAAGUUUGUGACGAGUGAGUGUGUUGUUGCCGAAAUAAACAGGCCUGAAAACAUUUAAAAUGUUCGCUACAGAGGCAGCUAGUAGUCGAUGUUAUGAAGUUCAAGACAUGACUAAUAAAAGUCCAUUUAUAUCUUUCAAGGGGGGUACCCUUUUUUCAUUUUGAGCACCUGCUCCCUGAAAGGUCUGUACACUGCCCUGCAUUUCACUGUAAAGAAAACUUGAAAUUACUAAGGAAAAAAUAAAAACAAAUUACGAGUUAAGACAAUAAUAAAAUGAACCGUCAAUCUAAAAAGGUUAAAACAAUACAGAAAAAAGCAGGGGGGCCAGAUCAGAUGAGAAGGGGGCCAGAUCAGAUGAGAAAGGGGCCAGAUCAGAUGAGAAAGGGGCCAGAUCAGAUGAGCAGGGGGCCAGAUCAGAUGAGCAGGGGGGCCAGAUCAAAUGAGCAGGGGGCCAGAUCAGAUGAGCAGGGGGCCAGAUCAGAUGAGCAGGGGGCCAGAUCAGAUGAGCAGGGGGCCAGAUCAGAUGAGCAGGGGACCCGAUCAGAUGAGCAGGGGGCCAGAUAAGAUGAGCAGGGGGCCAGAUCAGAUGAGCAGGGGGCCAGAUAAGAUGAGCAGGGGGCCAGAUCAGAUAAGCAGGGGGCCAGAUCAGAUGAGCAGGGGGCCAGAUCAGAUAAGCAGCGGGGCCAGAUCAGAUAAGCAGGGGGCCAGAUCAGAUGAGCAGGGGCCAGAUCAGAUGAGCAGGGGGCCAGAUCAGAUGAGCAGGGGGCCAGAUCAGAUGAGCAGGGGGCCAGAUCAGAUGAGCAAGGGGCCAGAUCAGAUGAGCGGGGGGCCAGAUCAGAUGAGCAGGGGGGCCAGAUCAGAUGAGCAAGGGGCCAGAUCAGAUGAGCAGGGGGCCAGAUCAGAUGAGCAGGGGGCCAGAUCAGAUGAGCAGGGGACCAGAUCAGAUGAGCAGGGGGCCAGAUCAGAUGAGCAGGGGGCCAGAUCAGAUGAGCAGGGGGCCAGAUCAGAUGAGCAGGGGGCCAGAUCAGAUGAGAAGGGGGCCAGAUCAGAUGAGCAGGGGGACCAGAUCAGAUGAGCAAGGGGCCAGAUCAGAUGAGCGGGGGGCCAGAUCAGGUGAGCAGGGGACCAGAUCAGAUGAGCGGGGGGCCAGAUCAGAUGAGCAGGGGGCCAGAUCAGAUGAGCGGGGGGCCAGAUCAGAUGAGCAGGGGGCCAGAUCAGAUGAGCGGGGGGCCAGAUCAGAUGAGCAGGGGACCAGAUCAGAUGAGCAGGGGGCCAGAUCAGAUGAGCAGGGGGCCAGAUCAGAUGAGCAAGGGGCCAGAUCAGAUGAGCAAGGGGCCAGAUCAGAUGAGCAGGGGGCCAGAUCAGAUAAGCAGGGGGCCAGAUCAGAUGAGCAGGGGGCCAGAUCAGAUGAGCAAGGGGCCAGAUCAGAUGAGCUGGGGGGCCAGAUCAGAUGAGCAGGGGGCCAGAUCAGAUGAGCAAGGGGCCAGAUCAGAUGAGCAGGGGGGUUGCGUUUCCUUGCUGAGACGUUACAUGCAUCAACCAAUGAUUGGAUGUGACAACAUCGACUGUGCAGUCGGGCACCAGAU